RNAcentral lists this ribosomal RNA (444 nucleotides) under uncultured soil bacterium. RNAcentral describes it as "bacterial SSU rRNA". It matches the Rfam family "Bacterial small subunit ribosomal RNA", at positions 26 to 518 of the family's 1533-position model. The record is from RNAcentral.
AGAACGAACGCUGGCGGCAUGCCUAAUACAUGCAAGUCGAACGAACUCUUCGGAGUUAGUGGCGCACGGGUGCGUAACGCGUGGGAAUCUGCCCCUUGGUUCGGAAUAACAGUUGGAAACGACUGCUAAUACCGGAUGAUGACGAAAGUCCAAAGAUUUAUCGCCAAGGGAUGAGCCCGCGUAGGAUUAGCUAGUUGGUGAGGUAAAGGCUCACCAAGGCAACGAUCCUUAGCUGGUCUGAGAGGAUGAUCAGCCACACUGGGACUGAGACACGGCCCAGACUCCUACGGGAGGCAGCAGUAGGGAAUAUUGGACAAUGGGCGAAAGCCUGAUCCAGCAAUGCCGCGUGAGUGAUGAAGGCCUUAGGUUGUAAAGCUCUUUUACCCGAGAUGAUAAUGACAGUAUCGGAGAAUAAGCCCCGGCUAACUCCGCGCCAGCAGCCGC